RNAcentral lists this long non-coding RNA (793 nucleotides) under Olea europaea subsp. europaea. Lineage: Eukaryota; Viridiplantae; Streptophyta; Magnoliopsida; Lamiales; Oleaceae. The record is from RNAcentral.
GGGGCCUUAGGCGAUUGUCUACUUUGCCUAUACUCAGGGCUACCACUACAACACAUAUUGUAUAUAUCACAAUCGAUGAUUAGAGCUAUAUAGAAUUAAGUAGUCUUGAAGAAACCUGUUCUCGGUCCCCUUAGAUUCUAGGGUUCUUGUAUGAAAUCCUAGAUAAAGGAAAAUCCAAGAUGGUUUUUUCAAGAGAUCCUAGAAUACUUACCAAAUCGAAGGAUUAUAUAUAGUUUAGGGUAAGCAUCAUUACCAGAAGAUCAAAGACCAUAUAGUGUAAAAUAGUAUGUACCAGGGAAUCAUUUUAUUUCUACAACGAACCAAAAUCAAACCUUUAGGAGUGCAGAAUUAUGAAGAACUAGGAUUUUCAUCUCCAAGAACAAGAAGAAAAACAAAUCGAAAUGCUCUGUUGAUAAAUUUGUCUCAAGAAGGCAAAGUAAAUCGACAAAAAUUUAAAAGAACACAGAUUUUUCGCUCUAAGUCUCGAAUGUUCAGCCAAAUGAUCUACUUACCACGUUGAAAAUCCACAAAAGUGGCUAUCCCUCUAAAUCAACUAGAAAUCACAUAGAAUAUCAGUACACGAAUCCACACCAAGAGAUCCAACAGAUUGUCCUCAGACAACUUAUUUUUCUCUCAAAUCGAUUUUAUACCAAGUAACCAGUGGUUAUCGUUCAACCAAGUACGGACAAGUAGCCAUUACCAACAUUCCACAAAAUAUCUCACCAAAUAAAUCUUAGAGAAUGACCAUUACAGACGAAAACCCAAAGGUAUUCAGAGAGAAGAAGACAGAGAG